This 484-nucleotide ribosomal RNA is filed under the name uncultured bacterium. RNAcentral's name for it is "partial 16S ribosomal RNA". It matches the Rfam family "Bacterial small subunit ribosomal RNA", at positions 29 to 507 of the family's 1533-position model. The record is from RNAcentral.
AUUGAACGCUGGCGGUAUGCUUUACACAUGCAAGUCGAACGGCAGCGCGGGCUUCGGCCUGGCGGCGAGUGGCGAACGGGUGAGUAAUACAUCGGAACGUGCCCAGUAGUGGGGGAUAGCUCGGCGAAAGCCGGAUUAAUACCGCAUACGACCUGAGGGUGAAAGCGGGGGAUCUUCGGACCUCGCGCUAUUGGAGCGGCCGAUGGCAGAUUAGCUAGUUGGUGGGGUAAAGGCCUACCAAGGCGACGAUCUGUAGCUGGUCUGAGAGGACGACCAGCCACACUGGGACUGAGACACGGCCCAGACUCCUACGGGAGGCAGCAGUGGGGAAUUUUGGACAAUGGGCGAAAGCCUGAUCCAGCAAUGCCGCGUGUGUGAUGAAGGCCUUCGGGUUGUAAAGCACCUUUGGCGGGAACGAAAAGGACUGUGCCAAUACCACGGUUCGAUGACGGUACCCGCAGAAUAAGCACCGGCUAACUACGUG